UACGUAGGGUGCGAGCGUUGCCCGGAUUUAUUGGGCGUAAAGGGCGCGCAGGCGGCUACGCACGUCCGUUGUGAAAUCGCUCGGCUCAACUGGGCGGGGUCGGCGGAUACGGCGUAGCUGGAGCAAGCUAGGGGGCAAUGGAAUUCCUGGUGUAGCGGUGGAAUGCGCAGAUAUCAGGAGGAACACCGGUGGCGAAGGCGGGUCUCUGGGCAGUAACUGACGCUGAGGAGCGAAAGCGUGGGGAGCGAACAGG
RNAcentral lists this ribosomal RNA (253 nucleotides) under uncultured bacterium. RNAcentral's name for it is "partial 16S ribosomal RNA". It matches the Rfam family "Bacterial small subunit ribosomal RNA", at positions 524 to 776 of the family's 1533-position model. The record is from RNAcentral.